AGCCAUCUUUAGCUUAUGCUUGUUUUGGGGGAUAGUCCCCUUCAAUUUUUUCUUCAGCAUAUAAAAGGCACGCUCAAUUGGGUUCAGAUCGGGUGAUUGACUUGGCCACUCAAGAAUUGACCAUUGUUUAGCUUUGAAAACUCCUUUGCAUUAUGGUUGGGAUC
Amblyraja radiata (thorny skate) is the source of this 164-nucleotide long non-coding RNA. RefSeq lists it as uncharacterized. NCBI's taxonomy places the organism in Eukaryota, Metazoa, Chordata, Chondrichthyes, Rajiformes, Rajidae. The transcript is spliced from 3 exons. The record is from RefSeq and is a predicted model, not a curated record.